AUUGCUUGUAAUUGCUUGCUCACUAACAAAACCAUUUUCAUACUUCACACUUUCAAACACUUUUCAAAACAAACAUUAUGUAUACAUUCUAAAAGAUACGAGAAUCAUUACAAAAUUGCCUUACAUUGGCAUCUUCAAAACAUCUUUCCAAACACUCACUUUCAACAAAUAUUUUCAAAAUCAAAACUUUGUAUACAUUCUCAACGAUACGAGAAUCAUUGCAAAGUUUGUCGAACAAAGGCGUUUUCAAAAUAUUUUCAAACUUACAUAAAACACAAAGCAUUUCAAAGUGAGUUAGCAAUUUAG
Non-coding RNA from Vicia faba (fava bean), 306 nucleotides. The record is from the annotation of a GenBank genome assembly. Lineage: Eukaryota; Viridiplantae; Streptophyta; Magnoliopsida; Fabales; Fabaceae.